This 468-nucleotide ribosomal RNA is filed under the name uncultured bacterium. RNAcentral describes it as "partial 16S ribosomal RNA". It matches the Rfam family "Bacterial small subunit ribosomal RNA", at positions 28 to 507 of the family's 1533-position model. The record is from RNAcentral.
GACGAACGCUGGCGGCGUGCUUAACACAUGCAAGUCGAACGGUGAAGCUCCAGCUUGCUGGAGUGGUUCAGUGGCGAACGGGUGAGUAACACGUGAGCAACCUGCCCCUGACUCUGGAAUAAGCGCUGGAAACGGCGUCUAAUACUGGAUACGAGAAGGGUCCGCAUGGGCACUUUCUGGAAAGUUUUUCGGUUGGGGAUGGGCUCGCGGCCUAUCAGCUUGUUGGUGAGGUAAUGGCUCACCAAGGCGACGACGGGUAGCCGGCCUGAGAGGGCGACCGGCCACACUGGGACUGAGACACGGCCCAGACUCCUACGGGAGGCAGCAGUGGGGAAUAUUGCACAAUGGGCGAAAGCCUGAUGCAGCGACGCCGCGUGAGGGAUGACGGCCUUCGGGUUGUAAACCUCUUUCAGCAGGGAAGAAGCGAAAGUGACGGUACCUGCAGAAGAAGCACCGGCUAACUACGUG